UAGAUUAUGGCUGAACGCCUCUAAGUCAGAAUCUGUACUAGAAACGAUGAUGUUGGUCCCGCACGUGUUAGUUGUGUCAAAAUAGGCUUCGGCUGUGAACCAUAUCUGGGCUGGGUUGCUCAAGCGGAAAGGCUUGGGUUGCUUGCUCUGAAUAGAAAUGAAAUAUGCGCGGGGGUGAAUCCUUUGCAGACGACUUGAA
Molecule: ribosomal RNA, 199 nt
Filed under: Conticribra weissflogii
Lineage: Eukaryota; Bacillariophyta; Thalassiosirophyceae; Thalassiosirales; Thalassiosiraceae
Description: partial Eukaryotic large subunit ribosomal RNA
Rfam family: Eukaryotic large subunit ribosomal RNA
Source: RNAcentral